Molecule: ribosomal RNA, 411 nt
Filed under: Actinomycetes bacterium
Lineage: Bacteria; Bacillati; Actinomycetota; Actinomycetes
Description: Actinobacteria bacterium partial 16S ribosomal RNA
Rfam family: Bacterial small subunit ribosomal RNA
Source: RNAcentral
UGGGGAAUAUUGCACAAUGGGCGCAAGCCUGAUGCAGCGACGCCGCGUGGGGGAUGACGGCCUUCGGGUUGUAAACUCCUUUCGCUAGGGACGAAGCUUUUUGUGACGGUACCUAGAUAAGAAGCACCGGCUAACUACGUGCCAGCAGCCGCGGUAAUACGUAGGGUGCGAGCGUUGUCCGGAAUUACUGGGAGUAAAGGGCUCGAAGGUGGUUUGUCGCGUCGUCUGUGAAAUUCCGGGGCUUAACUCCGGGCGUGCAGGCGAUACGGGCAUAACUUGAGUACUGUAGCGGUAACUGGACUUCCUGGUGUAGCAGUGAAAUGCUCAGAUAUCAGGAGGAACACCGAUGGCGAAGGCAGGUUACUGUGCAGUUACUGACGCUGAGGAGCGAAAGCAUGGGUAGCGAACAGG